This 606-nucleotide ribosomal RNA is filed under the name Ormenis saucia. Its description in RNAcentral is "SSU rRNA". It matches the Rfam family "Eukaryotic small subunit ribosomal RNA", at positions 4 to 579 of the family's 1831-position model. The record is from RNAcentral. Lineage: Eukaryota; Metazoa; Arthropoda; Insecta; Hemiptera; Flatidae.
CUGGUUGAUCCUGCCAGUAGUCAUAUGCUUGUCUCAAAGAUUAAGCCAUGCAAGUCUCAGUACAAGCCAAACUAAGGUGAAACCGCAAAAGGCUCAUUAAAUCAGUUAUGGUUCCUUGGAUCGUACAAUCCAUUACUUGGAUAACUGUGGUAAUUCUAGAGCUAAUACAUGCAAACAGAGUCCCGACCAGAAAUGGAAGGGACGCUUUUAUUAGAUCAAAACCAAUCGACGUCCGCUUUCCUUCGGGCCGGCGGCGCCGUACUCCUUGGUGACUCUGAAUAACUUUUGGCAGAUCGCACGGUCUUCGUACCGGCGACGCAUCCUUCAAAUGUCUGCCUUAUCAACUGUCGAUGGUAGGUUCUGCGCCUACCAUGGUUGUAACGGGUAACGGGGAAUCAGGGUUCGAUUCCGGAGAGGGAGCCUGAGAAACGGCUACCACAUCCAAGGAAGGCAGCAGGCGCGCAAAUUACCCACUCCCGGCACGGGGAGGUAGUGACGAAAAAUAACGAUACGGGACUCAUCCGAGGCCCCGUAAUCGGAAUGAGUAUACUCUAAAUCCUUAUACGAGUAUCAAUUGGAGGGCAAGUCUGGUGCCAGCAGCCGCGG